This 572-nucleotide ribosomal RNA is filed under the name uncultured bacterium. RNAcentral describes it as "partial 16S ribosomal RNA". It matches the Rfam family "Bacterial small subunit ribosomal RNA", at positions 356 to 918 of the family's 1533-position model. The record is from RNAcentral.
UGGGGAAUUUGGACAAUGGGCGAAGCCUGAUCCAGCAAUGCCGCGUGUGUGAAGAAGGCCUUCGGGUUGUAAAGCACUUUUGUCCGGAAAGAAAUCCUUGGCUCUAAUACAGUCGGGGGAUGACGGUACCGGAAGAAUAAGCACCGGCUAACUACGUGCCAGCAGCCGCGGUAAUACGUAGGGUGCAAGCGUUAAUCGGAAUUACUGGGCGUAAAGCUGCGCAGGCGGUUUGCUAAGACCGAUGUGAAAUCCCCGGGCUCAACCUGGGGAAACUGCAUUGGGUGACUGGCAGGCUAGAGUAUGGCAGAGGGGGGUAGAAUUCCACGUGUAGCAGUGAAAUGCGUAGAGAUGUGGAGGAAUACCGAUGGCGAAGGCAGCCCCCUGGGCCAAUACUGACGCUCAUGCACGAAAGCGUGGGGAGCAAACAGGAUUAGAUACCCCUGGUGGUCCACGCCCUAAAACGAUGUCAACUAGUUGUUGGGGAUUCAUUUCCUUAGUAACGUAGCUAACGCGUGAAGUUGACCGCCUGGGGAGUACGGUCGCAAGAUUAAAACUUAAAGGAAUUGACGGGG